UGGGGAAUUUUCCGCAAUGGGCGAAAGCCUGACGGAGUGACGCCGCGUGGGGGACGAAGGCCUUCGGGUUGUAAACCCCUGUCAGAGGGAAAGAAGGGUGUCGGCGCGAUAACCGCCGGCACUUGACGGUACCUUCAGAGGAAGCCCCGGCCAACUACGUGCCAGCAGCCGCGGUAACACGUAGGGGGCAAGCGUUGUCCGGAUUCAUUGGGCGUAAAGAGCUCGUAGGCGGUUCGGUAAGUCGGGUGUGAAACCUCCAGGCUCAACCUGGAGACGCCACCCGAUACUGCCGUGACUAGAGUCCAGUAGGGGAGCGUGGAAUUCCUGGUGUAGCGGUGAAAUGCGCAGAUAUCAGGAGGAACACCAGCGGCGAAGGCGGCGCUCUGGGCUGGAACUGACGCUGAGGAGCGAAAGCGUGGGGAGCGA
This 426-nucleotide ribosomal RNA is filed under the name uncultured bacterium. RNAcentral describes it as "bacterial SSU rRNA". It matches the Rfam family "Bacterial small subunit ribosomal RNA", at positions 355 to 771 of the family's 1533-position model. The record is from RNAcentral.